GAGAUUUACUUAUUCAGAAGCAAAAAUCAUGUUGAAAUUUUGUCUUCCAUUCACCCUUGACCUUGUGACCACGCAACUUUUUAUCUAGUGAAGAGACUCCAAAAUGUCAGUGGGCAGAUGUCUACAUGCACAGUCCUCAGCAAAACCCUGGACAGUGAAUCUUCACAGGACCUCCCCGGGUAGAAACACUGCAGACAUGAAGGUACUUGCUUCCCUUCUCCUUCUGCCUUUAUGGUGUGUCUCUUGUAAACAGCACAAAUUGGAUUUUGGCUGCUGCUUCUUUUUUUUUUCUCAACAGAGUUUUGCCAUGUUGCCCAGACUGGAGUGCAGUGGCCAUUCACAGUGUCAGUUUCUGAGGCCAAGCAGAAGCGUCCCUGAACAGGUCUGUCAUCUGGUUUCACACUUGUGUUGAAAAGUAGGAAUAUGUUUUUCAGUUUAGUCCUGAAAUUCUUUUAAGUGGUUUCGUUUUCAGCAAGAUUUGAAAUUUCCUGAUACCCUCUUCACUCUGAAGCCUAUAUGAGAAUGAAAGUAUUUCAAAAUUUCCUGUUGAAACGUGGUCCUUCCAAAGAUUGGAUUUCCUUCUACAUCCAUGUGAAGUUCAAACUUUUUCUCUUGUGUCAUUGAGAGACUACCCAUCUGGUUGAUUUGAUGAGCCAUUUUUGCUAAGUGGGCUACAUUCAAAAGCUGCCUUCAAUCUUCCAAGCAAACAAAAUACGUGUUUUACUCUUUUCCUGGACGUGUUCCAGCAAUUCACCUUUCCCUUCAAAUAUCCUGGUGAGAAAUCUUCCUCUGCUAAGCCUCUCAUUUAUUCAAUGUAGCAGAAGAAUUAUGCAUUCUGUGUUAUGAUUUCCACAUAAUUGUUUGACAGACUCAAUUGAACAGCCCUUGACUGUUUCAUAACAUCAUCCCAAACUAUUUUUUUAAAUUUCAUACCCAAGAAUUUUUGACAAGAGCAUCUUUCUGCAAAGAAAACAUUCUGUUUCAGAAAAUCAGGACUCUCAUUUUACUUUUUCAUCCAGAGAGGUGAAGCUUGUUACAGAAACAAACAUUGAUGGGCACCAUGAAUGCAGAUGCCAAUGCAAUUUUUCCAAGAUACAUCUUUUGUGUGUAGAUAAAAAAAUAAAACAUAAAUCAUACCUACCCCUCUCAUUGUUUGGGGCAGUUCAUUACAAUGGAAAAAAUAUGUUGAAUUUCACCAUUGUUGGCAAAUUUUACAAACACUACAAUGUGAUAUUUAUUGAUAAAAUCAUUUGGAUUUUUAAGUUAAGUAUAUUAAUUACUCUUUUUUUUUAGUUGGUCACACUGAACUCCCUCAGCAUUGUCCAUGUGCUAAAUACAUUUAUGGUACUGUUUGAGAUUGGGAACUUUUCAUGUUCUCACACUGCAUUUUGUCCUAAUAUUUUAUCCAGUCUAAUUUAUAUGUGAAUUUCUUUACCAGUUGCAUUUUGUUUUGUUCCUCUGCUAAUAAAUAAAUUACUUGCUCCCUAACCAUUUUCGUAGGAGGUAACUUUUUUGGUUUAACAAAAUCUUUAAGAUCCUAACAGUCACUCAAAAUAAUCAGUGCCUUGAUUGUUAGUAGACUUGGGUUAUGAAUGAGGAUUUCUUGGUUUUGCAGGAGCCCAGGGUGCCUUUGUACACUUUUUCACAGAUGGCUCACACUGGGACAGGGCAAUGUGAGUUUCUGUCCCAUAUAAACCCCACUGGUAAGUGGCCCUUUUUGUAAACCUGGCUUUCGUGGUUCUACUCAUGAAAGGAAGUGCAGCAGAUGGAUUGAAAUUCUGCGUCAAUAACCCCAGUAGAGUUGUCCAUUGGCUGAGGCCUGUAAUCCUCCUCUUGUGUGUCACAUCUUGCCCCAAUAACACGCAUUUGCACAACACAGCUCCUAAGAAAAUAUGAGGAGAAAUAUAACAAGUAAAUGAGAAAACGUUAAGAAAAUGUUAAACGUUGACCAU
This 1952-nucleotide long non-coding RNA is filed under the name Papio anubis (olive baboon). RNAcentral's name for it is "lncRNA (ENSPANG00000043410.1)". Lineage: Eukaryota; Metazoa; Chordata; Mammalia; Primates; Cercopithecidae. The record is from RNAcentral.